This 414-nucleotide ribosomal RNA is filed under the name uncultured bacterium. RNAcentral describes it as "bacterial SSU rRNA". It matches the Rfam family "Bacterial small subunit ribosomal RNA", at positions 28 to 424 of the family's 1533-position model. The record is from RNAcentral.
GAUGAACGCUGGCGGCGUGCUUAACACAUGCAAGUCGAACGAAGCACUUUACCGGAUUUMUUCGGAAUGAAAGUUUUGUGACUGAGUGGCGGACGGGUGAGUAACGCGUGGGUAACYUSCCUCAUACAGGGGGAUAACAGUUAGGAAUGACUGCUAAUACCGCAUAAGACCACAGGACCGCAUGGUGCGGUGGUAAAAACUCCGGUGGUAUGAGAUGGACCCGCGUCUGAUUAGCUAGUUGGUAAGGUAACGGCUUACCAAGGCGACGAUCAGUAGCCGACCUGAGAGGGUGACCGGCCACAUUGGGAYUGAGACACGGCCCAAACUCCUACGGGAGGCAGCAGUGGGGAAUAUUGCACAAUGGGGGAAACCCUGAUGCAGCGACGCCGCGUGAGCGAUGAAGUAUUUCGGUAU